UGUCCAACAAAGCUGUUAUUUUAUCAGGAAGAACUGAAAGCUCAUUUCAGAAACUGAAGCUUCUCAGGAAUGAACCAAAUGAUUUGGUAGACAUGCCUUGAAAUUUAUCAGAAAAUUACGAGUAUUGUUUUGUUAGGAGAUAGGAAUUAACUAAUGUUUCUAAAAUGCCUGACUUUAGAUCAAGAAUUUCAGCAACUUGAUGCACUCAAGAUGGAGAACCCAUAUUUUUUUUUUUUUAAACUGCCACCCUCACAACUUUGUUCUAACUCCGUCUCCACUGAAUCCCAACCUGAAGGUUUUAUGCAGCAGUCCCCGAUUCAAAGCGUCCUCCUGCAAGCAAGUCACUAAAACAAAGACUUGUGGGCCCUGGGAGAAGCAGGGAAGGGACAUUUGAAGACUUUGCCUACUGAUGGCAGGAUUGAACCUGUUCCCCACAGCCGGAGACGCACUAUAACCUGUGCUCCACACCUUCACAAGCACGAAGAACAAGGCAAGUUUGUUUUCCAAGUUGACUAACGUUGAUAGCAGCCAUUCCAAACAUGGAAAGGAUUUACUUACUCAGUUCACUUCCUGGUGUUACAAGGCACUGAAACUUGC
Bos indicus x Bos taurus (hybrid cattle) is the source of this 597-nucleotide long non-coding RNA. Lineage: Eukaryota; Metazoa; Chordata; Mammalia; Artiodactyla; Bovidae. The record is from Ensembl.